UUAAAAGUUUUAAUAGUUAAGUCUUAUCAAAGAGGUGAAACAUUAUAAUUAUUAUUAGGCCGCGUCACGUAUUAUCGAUAUUAUAUAAUAUUAAACAAUUAUUAUAGUCGACAGUAUCGAAUCGACAAUUCAUAUUAUCAUAUUAUCAUAUCGUAUCAUAUUAUUAAGAGCGGAAAAAUUGUAAAACCUAUCAAGCCGCGAAAUAUUUGUUCACGCCACGAAUAUUAUACGUGACGGUAUAGAAUCAACAAUUUGCGAUUGAUUUCAUAUGUUCUCCG
Cinara cedri is the source of this 278-nucleotide non-coding RNA. NCBI's taxonomy places the organism in Eukaryota, Metazoa, Arthropoda, Insecta, Hemiptera, Aphididae. The record is from the annotation of a GenBank genome assembly.